AACACGGUCAUAGGAUUUCAAUUCUUUAACUACAACCAAAACGCCAAAUCAAAAGGAAAGAAAACCAAACCAAACGAACUUACAAACUUACCAAAACGAAUGAAGAACAACCGGAACACCGAACCCCAAUGAUUAGAACAAUCAAUUUGUUGAACAUAAUAGAGAGAAAAGGCAUAGGAAUUCGCAAAGGAAAGGAAGAGGAAGAGAAGAAACCAAACGUUAGAAAAGAAAAUUUGAAAAAAGAAAAGAAAAAAUUAAAAAUUAAAAUUAAAAUUAAAUUAAAAGAAUAUCCCAACACUUCAUUAACUAACAAAUCCCACUAAACCGACCCACUGACUCCCAACCACUACCACAGACUUCCAAUCCCACCAAACUUCUACUACAUAAAAGGGCACACUUACAGAA
This 405-nucleotide long non-coding RNA is filed under the name Gossypium raimondii (Peruvian cotton). RNAcentral describes it as "long non-coding RNA (GRAI_LNC009609)". The record is from RNAcentral. Lineage: Eukaryota; Viridiplantae; Streptophyta; Magnoliopsida; Malvales; Malvaceae.